Molecule: non-coding RNA, 99 nt
Filed under: Weissella confusa
Lineage: Bacteria; Bacillati; Bacillota; Bacilli; Lactobacillales; Lactobacillaceae
Description: Guanine sequence
Rfam family: Purine riboswitch aptamer
About the family: Riboswitches are metabolite binding domains within certain messenger RNAs that serve as precision sensors for their corresponding targets. Allosteric rearrangement of mRNA structure is mediated by ligand binding, and this results in modulation of gene expression.
Source: RNAcentral
AAUGAGAACGUAAUCGCUAUCGGUAUAAUUGCUGGAGAAUGGCCAGCGAGUUCCUACCCGUUUCCCAAGAGACGGACUACCGAUAGUGUUUUGAGAUUU